AUUGAACGCUGGCGGAAUGCUUUACACAUGCAAGUCGAACGGCAGCACGGGGCAACCUGGUGGCGAGUGGCGAACGGGUGAGUAAUACAUCGGAACGUGCCCAAUCGUGGGGGGAUAACGUAGCGAAAGUUACGCUAAUACCGCAUACGAUCUACGGAUGAAAGCGGGGGAUCGCAAGACCUCGCGCGAAUGGAGCGGCCGAUGUCAGAUUAGGUAGUUGGUGGGGUAAAGGCUCACCAAGCCGACGAUCUGUAGCUGGUCUGAGAGGACGACCAGCCACACUGGGACUGAGACACGGCCCAGACUCCUACGGGAGGCAGCAGUGGGGAAUUUUGGACAAUGGGCGCAAGCCUGAUCCAGCCAUUCCGCGUGCAGGAUGAAGGCCUCGGUUGUAAACUGCUUUUGUACGGUAACGAAACGGUGAGUUCUAAUACAGUUUGCUAAUGACGGUACCGUAAGAAUAAGACA
This 468-nucleotide ribosomal RNA is filed under the name uncultured bacterium. Its description in RNAcentral is "bacterial SSU rRNA". It matches the Rfam family "Bacterial small subunit ribosomal RNA", at positions 30 to 493 of the family's 1533-position model. The record is from RNAcentral.